GCUGUUGUAGCUCAGUGGUAGAGCACGUCCUUGGUAAGGACGAGGUCGUGGGUUCAAGUCCCAUCAACAGCUCCA
This 75-nucleotide transfer RNA is filed under the name Prosthecobacter sp. RNAcentral describes it as "tRNA-Thr". It matches the Rfam family "tRNA". From Rfam's summary of the family: Transfer RNA (tRNA) molecules are approximately 80 nucleotides in length. Their secondary structure includes four short double-helical elements and three loops (D, anti-codon, and T loops). The record is from RNAcentral. Lineage: Bacteria; Pseudomonadati; Verrucomicrobiota; Verrucomicrobiia; Verrucomicrobiales; Verrucomicrobiaceae.